RNAcentral lists this long non-coding RNA (7316 nucleotides) under Sus scrofa (pig). Its description in RNAcentral is "lncRNA (ENSSSCG00000058892.1)". Lineage: Eukaryota; Metazoa; Chordata; Mammalia; Artiodactyla; Suidae. The record is from RNAcentral.
UCUAUUUUAUGUGAUAUGAGUAUUGCAACUCCUGCUUUCCUGUCUUGUCCAUUGGCAUGAAAUAUCUUUUCCCAUCCCCUCACUUUCAAUCCAUAUGUGUCCUUUGCACUGAAGUGAGUUUCUUGUAGAUGGAGACUGAAAGUUUUUUUCUUUUUUAUCCAAUCUGUCACUCUGUGUCUUUUGACUGGAGCAUUCAGUCCAUUGACAUUUAAGGUGAUUAUUGAUAGAUAUGUAUUUAUUGCCAUUUUAAACCUUAUUUUCCAGUUGAUUCUAUGUUUCUCUUUUAUUCAUUUCUUUUUUUGGUUGGAUGGUUUCCAUUUAUUUUAUACCUGAGUACUUUUCUUUUUAGUUUUCGUGAAUGUAAUAUUUGUGGUUGACCCUGUUUUUUAAGUAUAUUGACCCCUUCCUAUAUCUGCUUGCUUUAGCCUUAGAGUCAUAUAGGCUCAGACACGUAAUUAGAAUAAAAAAAAAGAAUCUAUAUUUACUUACUUUCCUUACCCACAUUGUAUGAUUUUGAUGUAUUUUUUUUUUUAUUUUUUAACAUCUUCAUGUUUAGACCUGUAUGCUGGCUUAUUUAAGUGACUGCUUUCCAAUUGUGUUUUCCUCCAUCCUAAUUCUUCUUCUUCUUCUUCUUUUUUUUAAUUUAGAGAAGCCUUUUCAGUAUUUCUUUUAGAAUGGGUUUAGUAUUACUGUACUCUUUUGGCUUUUUUUUUGUUGUUGGAGAAUUUCUUUAUUUACCCUUCUAUUUUAAAUGCUGUUCUUGCUAGACAGAGUAUUCUAGCUUGAAAAUUUUUUCCUUUUGGCACUUUAAAUAUAUCUUGCCACUCCCUUCUGGCCUCUAGUGUUUCUGUAGAGAAAUCAGCUGAUAGCCUUAUGGGGGUUCCCUUAUAAUUAAUGCUUUGCUUUUCUCUUGCUGCCUUUAGAAUCCCCUCUUUAUCUUUCACUUUUGCCAUUUCAUUAUAAUGUCUUGGUGUGGGCCUUUUUGGGUUCAACUUGUUUGAGGCCCUCUGUGCUUCCUGCAUCUUGAUAUCAGUAUCCUUUAGAUUUGGAAAGUUUUCAGCCAUAAUUUCCUCAAAUAUAUAUUCAAUCCUCUUUUCUUUUUCUUUUCCUUCUGGAAUUCCUAAUAUGUGUAGAUUGGCCUGCUUUAUAGUAUCCUAUAGGUCUCUUGUAUUGCUCUCACAUUUUUUCAUUUGGUUUUCUGUCUGCUGUCCUGAUUGGGUGAUUUCUAUUAUUCUGUCUUCCACCUCACUAAUUCAUUCCUCUGCAUUAUUCAUUUUACUCUUUAACUCAGUUUGUAUCUCUGCAAAUGAAUUUUCUAGUUUUUCUUGGCUCCUCCUUAUAUUUUCCAGUUCCUUUCUUAAGGAACCUGCAUUACUAUUCAUAUCCUUUCUCAAUUUCUUCAGUAUUUUCACUACCUCCCUUUUGAACUUAGUGUCUGUCAGACUGCAGAGGUCUGUUUCAUUGACUGCUUUAGGUGAAUUCUCCUGUUGCUUUAACUGGGAAUGGUUUCUGAUCUUCUUCAUCUUGCUUGUGUUUUCCUUUUUCUGUGAGUUUGGGGAAGCCGAACUGUAGCCUUGUAAGGCUACUUCUAUGUAAGAGUACCCCUUCGUAUUUUGGGGCGGGUUACUGUUUAAUUUUGGUGUGGCAGAUUGAAUAUUCGCUGUCUUUUUCUUUGGUGUGAGCAGGCUGUUAUCACCAGGAUGCUUAGUGUGUUUUUAGGGAGAAGGAGGCAUUGGGUAUGGCCAGCAUUCAGUGCCUGGUCAUUGGGCUCUCAAUAGCAGCAAUGAUCUGCAUGAAGGUGGCAGGAGCUACUCUUAGUUGCAGGGCCCUGCAGAGUGGUAAUAUGCUCUAGGCCGCUCUUCAAGGUGACCAGAGCAUUUGGCAGUAGCAACAGCAGGGUGCGUGAAUUCCCAGGGGAGUGAGAGCAACAACAGCUUGUGUUUGAUUGCAAUGCCCUCCUCUGAGGUGAUUGGAACCCCAGGUGGUGCCUGUUCAAGGACCCCUAUUGAGAGGGGCCAUUACUGUCUCUAGAGUCAGUUAUAACUGCAGUGAUUUGCCCCUGCCACCUGUAUACCAUGAAUGAAGCAACCUGUCUCACUUAGCGCACAUAGGCGGUGCCUUACAGGCUGCUCCUAGUUGCAGGAUCCUGGGAAUUGACAGAGAUUAGGCGUGUGGGUACUGCCCAGACAGUGGCAGCAGCAUGGCAGGUGUGUUCCCAGGGUGUGAGAGCACCAACCAGUGGUGUUUGGUCACAGUGCCCUACUCCGUGGUGCCUUUGAGGUCAAUGGGGCUGCAGAUGGUGUCUGUUCAUGGACCCCUAGUGGUGGUGAGCCACUCCCACCUCUGGAGCCAGAGAUAACUGUUGUGGUUUGCCCCUGCCUUCUGUAAACCAUGCCAGAAGCCCCUCAUCAUUCUUAGCCCCCACAGGAGGUGCUGCACAAGCUGCUUCUAGUUGCAGAUUCCUGGGAAGAGACAGUGAUCAAGCAUCUGGGCACUGCCCAGAGUGUUUGGCAGUGACAACACUGGGGCGGGUGUGCUCCCAGGGUAGCAAGAGAAAAAUCAGAUGGUGAUCUGUCACAUUGUCCUUCUCUGUGGUGCCCUCUGAGGUGGUCAGGGGCUGCAAGUGAUUUUUGUUCAGGUAUCCCCAAUGGUGGUAGGCCACACCCACCUCUGGAAUCAAGAAUAACUGUGGCGGUUUGCCCCCCUCUGCCUGCAGACCAUGCAAGAAGCACCCUUUCCCACUUAGCCCAUGAAGGAGGUGCUACACCAGCUGCUCCUAGUUGUAGGGUCUUGGGAAGGGACAGUGACCAAGUGUCUGGGCGGCCCCCAGAACAUUGGGUAAUGGCGGCUGCAGGGUGGGUGUGUUCCCAGGGGGUGAGAGCAACAUCGUAUGGUGCAUGGUUGCAGUGCCCUGUUUUCUUUUUUGACAACCCCUGAGAUGACUGGGGUCGCAGGUCGGGCCCAUUCACAGGCUCCUGUGGUGGCAAAACACGCCUCCCUCUGGCCUCUGAGAGGAUCACUGCCUCGGUCCAUCCCUGCCACCUGUAGAUUGUGCAAGAGGCACCAUGUCACAGUUUUCCCCCCAAUGCCCUUAGCCCACACAAGAGGUGCCUGGCCCCAGCAGGCUGCACAAGAAGUGCCCACUCUCCCCUAAAUGAGCAAGAGGCUUCUCACCACCAGUAGCCUGUGCCAGAGCCACCCCGCCCUCUGAGAGCCCAGGGGAUGUGUACGCUCCAGUGUAGGGAGUUUCCUAUGGUGGUCCGCCCCUCCUCCUCUCUCCAUCCCCAACAAUGGCACCUUGCCUCUCCUGUGGUCUGGGCCUUCUCCUGGGUUUCCCCUGCCCUGGCGUUCCCCUCCUCAGCCUGUGGCAUACCGUCCCCCCACCCAUGGUGCACUGCUCCUUAGCCCUUCAAACUGUCCCCACACAGCCAGCCCGGUCCUCUCCCCAGGACUGACCUCUUCAGCCUAAGUGUCAGUGCCCAGCCCCCGCCCGAGCAUCUCAGGCUGUGGUGUCCAAGCCAGUGGUUCAGAUGGUCUGUGCAGCUCUCUGUUUUGCUGUUCUCAGUCCAGCUGCUGCGCUUUUCUCGGUGACUCUGAGGUCCCUCCGACUCGGCUGAUCUUUCCGUCAGUCAGUUAGGUGGCUUCCCAGGAUGUGGGUUCCUUUUCUCCUUCACAGCUCCCUCUCGGGGAUGCUAGUCCCAUCUGGAUUCCUUUUCUUUCUCUCUCAUUUUCUUUUGUUCUACCCAGUUAUGUCAAGAGUUUCUUGCCCUUUUUGGAGGUUUAAGUUCUUCAGCCAGCAUUCAGUUGAUGUUCUCUGUGAGUAGUUUUAUAUGUAGAUGUGUUUUUUUGAUGUGUUUGUGGGAGAAGGUAAGUGUGACAUCUUAUUCCUCCACCAUCUUUCUCUGCCACUAUAAUAAAUUUUUUAAAAGAAAUUAAAAAGAGAUUAGAGGGUUUUUCAUAAUAGUAAGGAAAGAGUCUCUUGAUUUGUGUUCUCAGACUCUUGGUUGACUCAUAAGUAAGCUGCAUUGCAGAGACACCAUUUGCAGAAAAGUGAGCAAAAUAAACAUCUAUUCCAAGCAGAAGAAUUUAUACAUUUUAAAAUAUUCUUUCAUAUGAGUAGACACACAAACACUUUCACAUCCUAUAUAAGCACAGAAGAAAUAACAAUUUUCAAAUACAUAUGUUGAGUAGAUGGCAUUAAAAGUAAACAGAGGUAAUUUUAUCAAACAAGAAACCUCAAAAUGAUAGAGACAAGUAGUGGGAAAUUACAGUGUAUUCCCCAAAAUAAUAAUGAUGUUUACUCUGCAUGAUUUGAGCUUUAUAUCCUUUCCAUAAAUUAUCUGGAAGUAAACAGUAAAAGAAGUACCUUUAGAUUUUAGGGUAUAUACCAGUGAUUAGAUAAGAUUGAAGGGAUGAGUCAGUCAUGAGACAUAGCUGAGGCUCAUUGGUUUGUUGGGGAGACAAGUAGAAACUACUAGACUGGGACUCCAUUCACUGCCCCAGCAAGGGCUUUAAAUUCUUUUUUUUUUUUAAUUAUACAAAAGGUGUUGUUGAAUAGGGUAUGGGAUAAAGGCAAGUUUCCCAAGAAUUGAAAAAUGUGAAGCAUCAUGUUGGUCCCUUGGAGAUUACUGUAUUUAUUAUAUAAUGUGUACUGAUUAGAUUAGUAAAGAGAUAUGAGAAGUCACACUAAAGAAACAAAAUGACCCUCCAGGAGAGUAGAUUGAUGAAUACUGGUGUGCAAGACUCAUCCAAAUAUGUACACUUGAUGGACAUAUUUGGAAUUGUAAAUUACUCUUGCGCUCUGUCAUCUGUUAUCUGUGCCCAUCAUUAUCUAUUUUGAUUUACUCUGUAACUUGUCGUACAUGGAGGCAAAAGUACACUGACCAGGCUCCUGACAACAUCUUAUUACCUGUUAUUUUCUCCAUUGGUAUUCUUAUUUGGAUGUGUGGUGGAAUGGAGAGAAAAACCAGUGUGCAUCCUUGGGAGGCUGAAAUAUCCAGUUAUGUUUGCUGAACUGAUGGAGGUCAAUCUACUAAAAGUCCAUUUCCAUAAGGAACAGAGAUCCUUCACAUCAAAAGAGAGACAUGUCAGGCAAACAGCUUGGUACAAGGUUUCAUAGGAAGAGCAUUAUUAUUUGUCUCCAAAAUCUGUCUCCUGGCCCAGGCACUUAAUACUCAUAAUUUGAAUCAUAUAGAAAGGGUUCAUGGCUGUAAUUAAAAACUUCAAGAUCUAGUGUCCUCAGUCUCUCUGAGACAUUGGGACACAAGUGGGACUACUUUGUUACCCUUUCUCAAAGAGUCAUAUAAAGUCUAUUCAUUACAGACCACCAUCAGCUUGGACAGUACAGUGAAGGGAGUAUGCAGAAAUGUGGCAACAGGUGAUGUCAUAUCUGAAUGAAGAUGGCGAUACUGCCAGAGCAUAAAUGAAUAAUAGAGUCAAUGGGAUUGCCACCCAGUCAGGGUCCUUUUCUUACUGCAGCAUUCAGUAAGAAAGGCAUAGUCAACUGGGAAUUGGUUUUCUAGAAUGGAAGCUGAAGGAGGACAUGAUGGAUAGUGCAGUAUGCACCAGAAGCAGCUGUCAGUUAAAGGAGUGGUAAAGUGGAUAUGGCUGCAUGCAGAAAAAGACACAGCAGUGACCAGAGUUUAUUGCUGUGUUCAGCAUAUGGACUGUCAGAGGAGGGUCUGAACAACAGGGAAAGGAAAAUAAAAAUGAGAAUGAGAAUCAGGAGGAGAGGAAGAGGAGGAAAGAAAAUAAAAACUUUGGAAGGAACAUAUAAUUUAACCACUGUUAUUAAUGAUGUCCCCAUUAGGACUUUAAGAGCUGUUUUGAAGAGGCAAACAAAUUCUAAGAAGAGAAAGUACUGAAUACUGUAUAUGAAUCCAUUUGGAAUCUAUAUAGUAUUUGGAGAUAUGCAAAAAAGGAUAAAACCCAAGAAAACAAUUGAAAUGUGGGAAAGCUACAAAAACAAAAUGAUAACUUGACAGAAGUCUGUGUCUGCAGAAUAUCCCCAUGCCCAGAUACCUUUACAGGUACCUUUAUCAACUUUUCAAGAAGAGUUAAUCAUAGUCUUAAUGUGUUCUAAAGAGAAAAGUAUUAAUAAAUAAUGUUUGAGGCUAAUACAAUUUAGUUCAAAAAUAAGGGAAAGGGUUUGAAAAUGGAUUCAUUUUGUCCAUUUGCAGAUUAUUAACUAAAAUGUUAGGUAACUUGUAAAUAGCUAAUACUGUAUUUUAUCACCAUUGAGAAGUUAAAGUUAGUAUUGCAGCAUGAUUCCAUAUCAGAAUAUCUUCCAAUAUAAUUCAUGUUAAUAGACUAAAAUUUUAAAAUCAUAUGACUAUCACUAGAAGUAUAAAACUAAUUUUAUAGAAUUCAAUGAUUUGCAAUAAUAAAAAAGAACUCAUAAAAAUAGAAAUCAAAAGGAACUUUAUUUGGUUAAAAAAAAAUACAUGAAACCCCACUAUACCUGAUGAAGAAAUGUUGAUAUAUUUCCUCAAAGGCUGAGAACAAGUCAAGGUUGACUACAAACACAGCAACUAUGGAAUGUAUAAGUGGAAAUUAAAGCCAAAAAAAAAUAAUUAUAGUGGGACAAUGAAUAAGGAUUUUAAAGAUUGGAAGAAAAGAGAUAAAACUUCCAUUCUUGUAGACAGCAUGGGCUUUACAAAUUGGCCAGUCAACAUAAUCAAAACAUAGGUGAAAUCAACAGAGUUGCAGGAUAUAAAACCAACUUAUAGAAAUAAGUAACAGUGGAGUCAGAGGGGGAUGAGAGUGGGAAGCACUGUCUCCCCAUCUAGACAAGUGCAAUGGCAGAAUCUGUCAGAUCUAAUUUAGAACUCUGAAGUCAAUUAGAGACUUGUAACUUCCAGGAAAAAGAUUCAACUGCAAUAAUUUUGGUUGAUUUUAAGUAAGAUAAUUUUGAAAAUGAAGAGCGUGGAUGGUGAGGGUGGCUUGCCCUGUAGGAUUAAGACAUGUUACAGAAACAUAGAAAGAUGCAUUUACAUAAAAAUAAAGAGGUACUAUCAUAAGACUAAGCAAAUAGAACAGCCUCAGAGAGAAAAAUUGAAGCCAUAAAAGUAGAAUCCUGUCUAUAUAAAAACUUUAAAUAGGAGUUCCUGUUGUGGCGGGGUGGUUAACGAAUCCGACUAGGAACCAUGAGAUUGCGGGUUUGGUCCCUGCCCUUGCUCAGUGGGUUGACGAUGUGGCCUUGCCAUGAGCUGUGGUGUAGGUCGCAGAUGCGGCUCGGAUCCCGCGUUGCUGUGGCUCUGGCAUAGGCCAGAGGCUACAGCUCCAGUUUGACCCCUAGCCUGGGAACCUCCAUAUGC